This 15120-nucleotide long non-coding RNA is filed under the name Nicotiana benthamiana. RNAcentral describes it as "long non-coding RNA (NBEN_LNC007109)". Lineage: Eukaryota; Viridiplantae; Streptophyta; Magnoliopsida; Solanales; Solanaceae. The record is from RNAcentral.
ACAAAUCUAAAUAAAUAAAUAAAUAAAUAAAGUAAAUAAAAAUGAGAAAACAAAAGAAAAUAAAUUAGAAAAAAGAUGUCUUAAUAAGAAGACCAAAAUUGGGCCAUCUGUGCUCAUUUAUACCUAGCCAAACCAAUUAAAACCCACCCCCAUCCAACCCAGAUCCCCAACCCGGUCCGCCUCAGUAGUAAACAAAAUGAUGCCGUAUGGCGUCGAUCAAUCCAGGUCGUCGAGGUACUGGGAUAAAAUCGCCGAGAAUCUCCCUCCCAAUGAAUAUAACUGCCCGAGAAUCAACCCACCACCUUUCAGACCCCCCGAAUCGUCUCUAACUCAAACCCUAAAUAAUCAGCAACCUCUGUAAUGCCACCAACGCCGCCUCCGGCGAAUACACAACAAUCAACGUUGACUACCAAAAUAACACCCCUAUAUAGCAUAAUGUCCUCAUCACAAAUCCCAUAUUAUCUUCUUUCGAACUAUCAGAAGCCUUCAAAUAAUCAAAUUGGUGUUGUCGUCUCCACUGCCCACGGUGGCGACACCGCCCAAACAGCCCCAAAUUUACACCACCAUACCUCCUCACUCUUCGCUCCCCAAAUCCACCCUUAAUAUGCUUCGAAUCAGUACCAAACCUCUCAAAUACCGGAUCGAAAAUCUGGUCAAACUGUUGUAAUGCCCUAAGUCUUCAAAGGGCCCCAAAUUCACACAUCGAGCCCUCUCAAAACCUCCACAUGAUGAAUUUCAAGUAUGAAUCCCUCAAACCCAUGUAGAAUCCCACGAGCCUUAACCCUAGGGUCUGAAGAACCUUAUUUCAUGUAGUCGUUCAAGCUGGUUUAAUUAGUGAGUGUCUCUUCUCAUUUAUUUUUAUUUUUCUUUAGUUUUGGAUUUAUUAGAUGAUUCGUGCUUUCACUGAUAAACAAAAAUUGUUUAAAGUCUGCAGAAUAUUAAUUGAUAGUCUAGUUUAAUUUCAUUCUAAUUCUGCCUGUUAUUGUUAGCUAAAUGCCUAGGUAUAAUGUGAGGUAGUAAUUGCUUAGUUUAAUUCUUAGAUUAAUUUUCAUUUUUAUUUAAUUCUAAGUUGAUUUUCGUUCUAUUGGAGUAUAUGUUCAAUCGCUAGUUAGUUCAAUCAAUCAGUUGUUAGUUUAAUUGGGUUUGAUUCAGUUUGAUGUACCUGUUUUCCUUUUGAUAACAAUGUGGUCAUUUGGUGGAAAUUUGAUUAGGAUUCUUUGUUUUUGUAAUAAUUGAUUUUGCAUGUUAAGUUAGUAGUUUAGUAGUAAUUGAGUAAUUAGUAUUUGUUCUAUGAGUUCAAUAUUUGAUUAAAUAGUUAUUCGAAUUAUGUUAGCUAAUUUGAUUACAGCUAGGUAAAUUAAAUUUUCAAUUAGUCAUGGAUUGGGUUUAGUUAAUGUUAAUAAUUUCAGGGAAUCUUCAGGGGCACUUUGGGCACCUAAAAUGGUUAGUUUGUUAAGACAUGGAUUUUAGAACUCAAGUAAGGGUACUAUAGGCAUUCCGUAAGUAGGCAAACAAAUUUAGAACAUAUAUCUCCUACUCUAUACAAAACUCUGUCCAAAAACUAUGAUUACCUCUAUGAAGUAGAUAUCCUACCCGAUGAACAAAAAGUAUCCUCCACUGAACUACCCUUUAUAAACCCCUACUCAGCUUUUGCCAAAAAAUCCUUUGCACCCUAGACCCAAAUCCGUUCCUUGGUCCAACUCAGACCAAAAGGAUUCAAAGAAUAUGUUGCUCAGCAACUCUGAAGAUAGACUGAGAGCAGUUAAUUUGUUUAUAGACGUAUUCCUUCUAGAAGGGGUCUUAGUGAAAGUUUCAGCUUUUUAAAAGCCGUAACUUGAGAAACAAGUCAAUACUUUAGGUUUAAGGUGAAAUUUCUAAAAAUAAAAAGUGGGGAAAAUAAGGAAACACUUCCAGAACAUUCUGCCCCCUUCCUUACCUAUAAAAGGCAGCCCUAGUACCUUGAUUAAGGAGUUUGAACCCCAAAAAUUCCCCCAAAACCCUUGGCUGCAGAUCUGAAUCUCAGAUUUGAAUUUCCGAUUCUAAUUAAGUCUAGUAUCUCAAAAACAAAACAAAAAUAGAAAAAUCUUCAAAAAAAUCGAAAAAUCAAACUAUUCCAUUGGUUUGUGUUUUAGUUUCAAGUUUAGUUGUUAGUUUGGAUUCUCUCAUUUCCGUGUUUGGUAGCUGAAAGUCAGAAACUACUUUGAAUUGGCUUAUCAAUUCAUAUUGGUAUUUAAUUGGAUUAGUGGAUGUUUGUUUCUGAUUGUUGGUUGUAUUCUGGGUUUAGUUUUGAGUUAAAUUGGUUUAUUCAAGCUGUGUGGGAGAUUUAUGGUUAUCUAUUUGGUUUCAAGCUAUUCCUGGAUUGAUGGAAUUAGAUUGGGGGUUAUUGUUGAUUUGUGCCCAUUACUGCUGCUGUGGAUUGACAAAAUACCAGUUAACUGUUCGUUGCUGAUCUCCCCAUCUUUUGUUGUAACUUCAUCCUCAGGUACACAGCUUUGACCUUGAUGAUUGUAAACUGAAGAAUGAAUCUAUGUGACAAUCGAAGCAUGAAAUUUGAUUUAGUUUCAAUUUCAUACUUGUGUAUUCGAGCACUCGUUCGUUAAUGUUAUUCAGACCUUUGAUUUUUAUUAUAUGCAUUGGACUAUAAUUGAAUGAUUUGGACUGUUAUUUGAACUUUCAAAUUUGUAGUAAUAGAUCAAACUCUAUAAUUGUAUAGUCAUAGAGAUUUGAAGAGUUUGAAGUAUUUUACAAAUUGUAUUCAGUGUACUAUGAGCUAUAUUUGUAAACUCCCUAUCAGUGUAUUUAUUAACUUGAGAACUUUUUGAAGGCCAGUUAAAAUGAGCAUUAAUGUGUGAGUUGUAGUUAACUUAGUUAGUUUGUUAGUUUAGACAUUCAAAACUGAAGAUAACUUGAACUGGAAAUUGGCUUAGGAAUUUGAUGUGCACUUUUGUUGAUGACUGAGUAUUCAAAAUGUUAGGAGUAAAUAAUUUUGCAUGUCAUUUGAUAAAGUAAGUUCAUAAUAAAUUAUAGUUUUGAAGUAAUAGCUAGUCAGUGAUUAAUUCCUGAAUUUAAGAUGGCAUGAGUAGCUUGCAGUAGUGCAUGAUUUUUAAUUCUAACGCUGUCUAAGUUUGAUUUGGGAAUCGACGUUGUUUAAAUACUUCAGACUAAUCAACGUUGAUUAUAAUUGAACUUAAAUCAGAAAGGCAUGAUCUUCAUAGGCACAAAUUAUCACUGAUCUUGUAGACACAAUUAACAAAAAUUCAUUUGUGAGGAACCAAUAAGCUCACCUGAAAUGCGUGUACUUUUGUUGAUUGUGUAUUUGACUCCAAAGAUGCUAGCUCAGCCUGAAAUUAGAUUGGGCCUGCAUUUGAAUGUAUGUAACAUUGUGAAUAAGCUUGGACGUUGCCUAUUAAUGUGGUUAAGUUCAGACACUUUUUAAGUUGGAGCUUAAGGUUUUGAGUCCUUCAAUUAAUUAGGGUCUUUUCUUUAAUUUUUUGAGACAAAAAAAAUAGAAAAUCAUAGUCACUUUAGGAUUUCCCUUUAAAUAAAAUGAGAUGAGCCUCACCAGAUAAAAAGUGCAAAAUUGCGGGGUUCAAAAAUAUAUAUAAAAUAAUACUUAGAAUUAGGGAUGGGCCAUUUAGCAAAUUUUAUGGCCCUCCUCAAAGAUAAUAAAGCGUUAGUCACUUUAAGCGCAUUUUUAAUAAUUUACUUUCUUAAACUCAGGUGCGCAUUUAUGUGACCCUAAUCCAAAUCUCAAUGGAGUCGAAAUGUAUCAACAACCACGUGUGCAUUGAUAUGACGUGGUUCGAGAUGCGUUUUCACGACGUUGCAAGUCUCGUUAAAAAUAAUAAUGAUAAAAGUGUUUCAAAACUGAAAAGCACAUAAGCUAAAACAUAUUUUGAAAUCAGAUAAAUCCAAAUAUAACAGUUGAGUGACCGUGCUAGAACCACGGAACCUGGGAAUGCCUAACACCUUCUCCCAGGUUAACAGAAUUCCUUACUCGGAUUUCUGGUUUGCGGUCUGUUAACAGAGUCAUAUUUUCCUCGGUUCGGGAUUCAACCGGUGACUUGGGACACCAUUAAUCUCCAAGUGGCGACACUGAACUUUAAUAAUUAAAUUCUGUUCCGAUUGUCCUUUAAGUGGAAAAACUAUUUUACACCCUUGCGGGUGUAGUGAAAAAGGAGGUGUGACAGCUCUGGCGACUCUGCUGGGGAUCAAACCCAGAACUUCGGGAUUCCGGUAGAUCCACGCGCACUAUGAGUUGGACUAGGAGAUGGUAUCCCAGGAGGUACACUAGAUAAUUAUAUUUGGGACUACAUGAUGGUAUCCUGGGAGAUCCUCGGUUGUUAUCUCUGAGUUGAAUUAUACUCUUUUCUAUGAUUAUUUUGUCUCUAUUAUAGUUCUUGUUGUUCCUUCUAUUCUAUGUUAUUUAUUACUGUUGCACUCAUUCUAUAAAGUUAUACCUUAUAUUUCAUUUAUUCUCAGUAGGGCCCUGAAAAUCCUCGUCACUACCUGAUCAAGGUUAGGCACGACACUUAAUGAGUACCAUUGUGGUGUACUCAUGCCUUUUCUGCACAUGUUUUUCAUGUGCAUAUCCAGGUACUUCCACUCAGCCUUAUCAUACUUGAGCAAGGCUCUUUUGUAGAUACUUCGAGGUAUAUCAGCCAGUCCGCAGACCGAGGAGUCCAUUUCUAUCCUCGGUACUAGUAUAGCCAUUCUGUAUUAUCCUUGUUGAUAGACAUUUCUGGAGUUAGAGUUUUUUAUGUAAACUCUUAGCUUGUGAUUCAUGGAGUUCUGUAUUUUGGGAGUGUUAGGUUGAUAUUUUUUUACUGUUAUAUGCCAGGCGACAUCAUAAACAUUGUUUCAUUUUAUUAUCUUAGUUUUUAAUUAUUUACUUUCCGCAACUAUUUCUUUCCACAUUUGUUAGGCUUACCUAGUCGUAGAGACUAUCACGAUAGUUUACAGGGGGCGACUUGGGGUGGUCAGAAAUUGGUAUUAGGGCUCGAGGCUCAUAUGAGUCAUGUAUCUCAAGCCAAUUAUUUAGAGUCUCGCGGAUCGGUACGACAACGUUUGUACUUAUCUAUGAGAGGCUAUGCAACUUUUAGGAAAAAUUCCAUUUCGUUUGAUUUUAUUAUCAUGCUAGAUUUUUGAUAUCACAAUUCUAAUUUUCUGUCUUCUAUUCUCUCAUAGAUGGUGAGGACACAUGCAACCCAAGAUGAUCAGGAACCCGUGCCCACUACUGUAGCCGUCAGAGGUCGGGGCAGGGUAGAGGUCGAGGACGCGCACGUGGUGCAGCCAGAGCUCCUGCACGAGCUGCUGCCGAGGAGCCAACAGCAGUUUCCAGCCAGAUCCCAGGCACCUGAUAUGCCUACUUCUACUAGUACUCCAACACUUUAGGAGACUCUAUCAUUGUUCAUGAGUUUGUACACCAUUUUGGCUUAGGCAGGAUUACUUCCCCUUGAUGUAGCAAAAUCCCAGGUCGGGGGAGGAACACAGACUCUGCCUCCUACACUCCUGAGCAGUGAGUGCAUGUAGAUCACUCCUAGAGAUUAUUCUGGAACAACAUGCAUCCCCAGAUCAGCCCGAGGACAAGGCAUCACUCUUCGAGGAUGAGUAGAUGUGGGUUGAGAGGUUCAAGAAGCACAAGCCUCCUGUAUUCAGUGGUCUAGCAUCAGAUGAUGCUCUAGGAUUUCUAGAUGAGUGCUACCGUAUUCUCUGUACCAUGGGUAUAUUAGGAAUAAGCGGGAUUUCCUUCACCGCUUUCCAGCUUCGAGGAGCUACCUAUGAGUGGUGGCAUAUUUAUGAGUUAGACAGUCCCGAUAAGGAAGCUUCUCUGACUUGGACUCAGUUUUCAGAUGUGUUCCUAAGAGAGUAUGUUCCUCAUAGCCUCAGGGACGUAUCAUGUCCAAAGUUUGAGCAUAUACACCAGGGUGCUAUGAUUGUCUCGCAGUAUGCUAUUCAUUACAUCAGCUUGGCUAGACACGAACCAGCUUUGGUUUCUACUAUUCGCGGGAGGGUUCACCGAUUUAAUUGAGGGGUUUAUUCCCAACAUCAGGUCUAUCCUGACUCGUGAGUUCGAUCUGAAUAUUUCUUAUCAGUAGGUGGUAAGCAUUGCUUGGAGGAUCAAGCGUAUGCAUGCUAGGGAUAGAAAGGAGAGAGAGGCCGAGAAGUCUCAAGAGUACCAUUUUUCUGGUGCUCGUGCCCCAGCUGUAGGUUAUCAUGGUAGGUGUUACAUAAAUUACCCUUUUCAUUCAGCUCUCACAGCAGCCAUUGGUAUCCUAGCUUCUCCUAGGCCUUAGGAACCUUAUUAUGCACCUCUAGUAUCUAGUGUGCCUCCUGCACGGGGUGCUUUUAGUGGUCAGUCCAACAGAUCUAUCCCGAGCAAGUCAUAGGCGCCACGUCCUCCUAGAGAAUGUUUUGAAAAUGAUGGUACAUUUCAUAUGGUGCGAGAUUGCCCCAAACUUAGGAGGGGGAGAAACUCUAUUAACUUCUUAGCCACAGCGUGCCUCGCGCAGUUCUCAGGCUUUGGUUACAGCUCCAGUUGCUAACCCACCAGCUCAGCCAGCUAGAGGUGGAGGUCGAGGAGGUAGGAGUCGCCCUAGAAGGGGAGGCCAGGCGAGAUAUUAUGCCCUUCCUGGUCGUACCGAGGUUGUUGCCUCUGAUUCAAUAGUCACAAGUAUGGCCUUGGUUUGUCAUAGAGAUGGAUCAGUUCUAAUCGAUCCAGGCUCCACUUAUUGAUAUGUGUCUUCUUAUUUUGCUUCGCAAUUGGGUGUAUCUCAGGAUUCUUUGAGUUCCCUUGUUUAUGUUUAUACUCCUGUAGGAGAUUCUCUUGUUGUGGACCAGAGCCGAUUUAUUGUUGCUUAGCAUGGUAGAUUUUAAUAUUAUCUUGGGCAUGGACUGAUUCUCUCCCCAUUAUGAUAUUCUUGAUUUUAAUUCCAAUACCAUGAUGCUGGCUAUGCCAGGUGUACCACGUGUUAAGCGUAGGGGUGCUUUAGAUCACACUCCUAGUAGAGUUAUUUCUUUUCUUAAGGCUCAGCAAAUGGUUGAGAAGGGGUGUGACGCAUAUCUAGCUUAUGUGAGAGAUGUCAGUAUUGAUACCCUUACAGUUGAUUUAGUGCCAGUAGUACGGGAUUUUUCUGUGUGUUUCUAUCUGAUCUUCUGGGUGUGCCGCCUGAUAGAGAUAUUGAUUUUGGUAUUAACCUGUUGCUGGGUAGUCAGCCCAUUUCUAGUCCUCCAUAUCAUAUGGAUCCUUCUGACUUGAAUGAGUUAAAGGAUCAGUUACAGGAAUUGCUUGAUAAGGGUUUUAUUAGGCCUAGUGUAUCACUGUGGGGUGCUCUUGUCUUGUUUGUGAAGAAGAAGGAUGGUUCUAUGCAUAUGUGCAUUGAUUAUCGUUAGUUGAACAAAGUUACAAUGAACAAUCGUUAUCCUUUUCAUUGUAUUGAUGAUUUGUUUGAUCGGCUAUAGGGUGCACAAGUGGUUUCUAAGAUUUACUUGCGUGCAGGUUACCAUCAGUUAAAGAUUCGGGAGACUGAUAUCCUGAAGACUGCGUUCAGGACUCGUUAUGGUCAUUACAAGUUUCUUUUUAUGUCAUUUUAGUUUACCAAUGCCCUAGCAGCCUUUAUGUAUUUGAUGCACAGUGUGUUCCGACUAUAUCUUGACUCGUUCGUCAUUGUCUUUAUUGAUGAUAUUCUGGUGUAUUUCGGGAGUCGGGAAGAUCAUGAGCAGCACUUGAGGACAGUGAUCCAGACUUUGAGAGAGAAGAAAUUAUAUGCUAAGUUCUCAAAAUGUGAGUUUUGGUUGGAUUAUGUGGUAUUCUUGGUCACUUGGUUUCUAAUGAGGGGAUAAAAGUUGAUCCGAAUAAAUUGAAAGCAGUGCAGAGUUGUCCCAGACCAUCUACAGCUAUAGAGAUCUGCAAAUUUCUUGGCUUGGCGGGUUACUACCGUCGAUUUGUUGAGGGGUUUUCAUCUAUUACAGUGCCUAUGACCAGGCUGACCUAGAAGGGUGCUCUGUUCCAGUAUACGGAAGAGUGUGAGGCAAGCUUUCAAUAGCUCAAGACUGAUUUGACAACAACCUAGUUUUAAUAUUGCGUAGAGGUUCGGGGUCUUAUACUGUCUAUUGUGAUGCCUCGAGAAUUGGCCUUAGAGCGGUAUUGAUGCAAGAUGGUAGUGUGACUGCCUAUGCAUCCAACAAGUUAACAGUACAUGAGAUGAAUUAUCUUGUCCAUAAUCUCGAGUUAGCUGCUAUUUUUCACGCGUUGAAGAUCUAGCCCCAUUAUUUGUACGGUGUGCCUUGUGACAUUUAUACUGAUCACGGGAGUUUGCAGGAUUUGUUCAUGCAAAAUGACCUUAAUUUGCAUCAGCUAAUGUGGUUAGAGUUGUUGAAGGACUAUGAUAUCACUUUUUUAUCACCCGGUCAAGGCUAAUGUGGUGGCCGAUGCUUUGAGUCAUCGGGCAGAGAGUUUGGAAAGUUUGGCUUAUUUACCAACAGCGGAGAGGCCCAUGGUGAUGGAUGUUCAGGACUUAGCCAGCCAGUUUGUGAGAUAGGAUCUUUUGGAGCCCAGUCGGAUUCUAGCUUUCAUGGUUUCUCAAUCUUCAUUAUUUGAUCGUAUCAGGGAGCGUCAGUUUAAUGACUCUCAUUUGCUUGUCCUCCAGGACAAGUUUCAGCACAGUGAUGCCAAAGAUGUGACUAUUGGUGAUGAUGGGGUAUUGAGGAUGCUAGAUCGGAUUUGUGUAACAAAUGUCGAUGGGCUUUGGGAGUUGAUUAUAUAGGAGGCCCAUAGUUCACAGUAUUCCAUUCAUCUGGGUGCCGCGAAGAUGUACCAGAAUUUGAGGCAGCACUAUUGGUAGAGGCGAAUGAAGAAAGAUAUAGUUGGUUUUGUAGCUGGGUGCCUCAAUUGUCAGCAAGUGAAGUAAGAGCACCGGAGACCGUGCAAUAUACUUCAGCAGAUAGAGAUUCUAGAGUGGAAGUGGAAGUGGGAGCGGAUCACCAUAGACUUUGUAGUUGGGCUCCCACGAAAUUUGAGGAAGUUCAAUGCCAUUUGGGUAAUUGUGGAUCGGCCGACCAAGUCCGCGCAUUUUAUUCUUGUGUGUACUACCUAUUCUUCAGAGCGUCUAGCGGAGAUUUAUAUCUGGGAGAUUGUUCCUCUGCAUGGUAUUCCAGUUUCCAUCAUUUCAGAUAGAGAUACUCACAUCAAGGUUCUGGAGGGUCGUACAACAUGAGGUGGGUAUUUGAGUGGAGUUGAGUACAAUAUUUUACCCUCACAUAGAUGGGCAGUCGAGCGGACUAUUCAGAUUAUUGAGGAUGGCUCUGUGCAUGUGUGAUUGAGUUUGGAGUGUCUUAGGAUCAGUUCUUGCCCAAUUGCGGAGUUUUCCUACAACAAUAGCUAUCAGCCUAUCAUUCAGAUGGCACCGUAUAAGGUUUUAUAUUGUAAGCAGUGUAGAUCCCCGGUGGGUUGAUUUGAGCCGGAUGAGGCUAGAUUAUUGGGCACAAACUUGGUUUAGGAUGCAUUAGAGAGAAUAAGGUGAUUCAAGAUAGACUCCAUACAGCCAAGUCCAGACAGAAGAGUUACGCGGACCGGAAGGUUCGUGUUUCCAUAUGGUUGGGGAGCGGGUUCUGCUUCAGGUUUCUCCUAUGAAGGGCGUUAUGAGAUUUGGUAAGAAAGGGAACUUGAGUACGAGUUUUAAUGACCCUUUUGAGAUAUUGAGGUAUGUUGCGGAGGUUGCUUAUAAGUUUUCCUUACCUCCCAGAUUCGCAGGAUUCCAUCCGGUAUUUCAUGUCUCAAUCCUCCAAAAGUAUCAUGGUGAUCCGUCGCACGUUUUGGAUUUUAGUUUAGUCUAGUUGGACAAGUAUCUAUCUUAUGGUGAAGAGACAGUGGCCACGUUGUACAGGCAUGUUCUAAAGCUAAGGUCAAAGAACAUUGCAUCAGUGAAGGUUCAGUGGCGGGGUCAGCCGGUCAAGGAGGCAACCUGGGAGACCGAGAAGGAUAUGCGCAACCGUUACCCUUAUUAGGGAAACGAAUUUCUAACUGUAGGAGUACGUAACGACCCGUCCAGUCGUUUAAAGAAUUUAUGCCCCGAUCCUUAUUAGGGAAUUGGAGAUUCGUAGCUUAUUUAGGGUUGACAUGCCGAAAGUUGAAUUUUUGAAGUUUAUAAUUUGAAUGUGAGAUUUUAAUAUUAGUGUCGGAAUGGGAUUCUGGAAGUUGGGUUAGCUCUAAUGUUGAAUGUGACGUGCUUGCAAAAUUUUAGGUCAUUCGGACGAGGUUUGAUAGAUGUUUUGAUCGAAAGAGUAAAUUGAUUGUUCUUAGGCUUGAAUCAAAUGUUAAAUUGGUGUUUUGAUGUUUUUUUGAGCUUUCCAAAGAUUGUAACAAGUUUGAAUGAUAUUUUAUGAUUGGUUGACAUGUUUGGUUGAGGUCCCAUGUGCCUCAGGUGCUUUUCGGAUGCUCAACGUGUCAUUUUUGGACUUAGGUAUGCAGCAGAUUUGCUGGUUUUUCUGUUACAGACUUUUGGCCUUUGCAUUCGCGAAGGGUUGAUUACCUUCGUGAAGGCUGUCCAGGGGAAGUAUAGUGAAUGCAAGGAGCAGAGCGCAUGCACAAAAAGGAAAGACUGAGCAAUUAUGGACCCCAUGGAAUUUCUCUAUGCUUUCGCGAGCAUUGGGUCGCGUUCGCGAAGGUCCUGGAGCUAAAGCUACGCGUUCGCAGGUGGACCCUCGCGUUCGCGAAAGAGAAAGUUGGCCAGUAGGAGUUUUGUGCAUCGCGUUCGUGAUUGUAGUCUCCCGUUCGUGAAAAAGAACGUGUCUGGGUAGAACUUAAAUUUCAAAUCGAGGGUCUUGAGUUCAUAUCAUAAAAUUGAAUUGGGUGCUUUGUAGGAGGUGAAUUUUGGAGAGAUUUUUGGAGGGAGUUUGUGGGCAAUGAUUUGUAUCCCUUGUUUGCUUAUAAUCCUUUAAUCUAAAGAUGAAUUAAUCAUCUAAUUUUGGAUUUGGGUUGAGAAAUUGGGCGGGGNNNNNNNNNNNNNNNNNNNNNNNNNNNNNNNNNNNNNNNNNNNNNNNNNNNNNNNNNNNNNNNNNNNNNNNNNNNNNNNNNNNNNNNNNNNNNNNNNNNNNNNNNNNNNNNNNNNNNNNNNNNNNNNNNNNNNNNNNNNNNNNNNNNNNNNNNNNNNNNNNNNNNNNNNNNNNNNNNNNNNNNNNNNNNNNNNNNNNNNNNNNNNNNNNNNNNNNNNNNNNNNNNNNNNNNNNNNNNNNNNNNNNNNNNNNNNNNNNNNNNNNNNNNNNNNNNNNNNNNNNNNNNNNNNNNNNNNNNNNNNNNNNNNNNNNNNNNNNNNNNNNNNNNNNNNNNNNNNNNNNNNNNNNNNNNNNNNNNNNNNNNNNNNNNNNNNNNNNNNNNNNNNNNNNNNNNNNNNNNNNNNNNNNNNNNNNNNNNNNNNNNNNNNNNNNNNNNNNNNNNNNNNNNNNNNNNNNNNNNNNNNNNNNNNNNNNNNNNNNNNNNNNNNNNNNNNNNNNNNNNNNNNNNNNNNNNNNNNNNNNNNNNNNNNNNNNNNNGGGGGGGGAAUUUGAAAAAGUUCAUAGACAUAAAUUUCAAGUUUUGAUUAGGAAUUAGACAUUGGAUUUGGAUAAUUUUUGUAUGGAUAGACUCGUGAGAGUAUGAGGAUUCUGAAAAUGUAAAUUAUAACUGAUUCUGAUAUGUGGGACUGGGGGUAUUUUUGUAAUUUUAUCUGAUUUCCCGUAUCAACAUAGAAUUUAUUUGUAGAAUUAGUUACUUGAAGUUAUAUUUAUAUUAUGCAAUUGAAUUAAAUAGAUUCGGUCCAUUUGGAGUCGAGUACUCGUGGAAAGAACGUGGUUUUGUGUUAAUUUUGUAUCGGUUUGAGGUAAGUGGCUUGCCUAACCUUGUGUGGGGUAAUUCCACUUAGGAUUUGGUAUUAUUGAUAUUUGAAAUUCCUUGUAGGGUGAGGUGAUGAGUACGUACUUGUGCUAAUUGUUGAAAAUCCGAUUUUUAUUAAGCAAUUAUCAUCGUGUUUUCUUUCCUAUUUAUACUACUCGUGAUUCAAUACAAUUGUUAGUUUGGGAAAGCAUGUCUAAUUUACUUAAUUGCUUUUAUUGCUCAAACUACCUAAUUUGGAUUAUGUGCAUUAUGCUAGGCUAGAAAUACUAGUUUUACCUUGGCAUAGACUUUUAGUUGAAUUAUGUGUUCUUCGUGUUGUUGCUGUGUGCUUACUUUGGGACUACGGAUUUAGAUUGCGGGAGAUCCCCCUGCACCUUUACAUUGAAACUACGGGACUGCACCCACUAGAUUCUCCCAGUACUGAGUAUUCAUAUUUGGGACUACGGAUCAGAAUUCUGGUAGAUACCCGCGCAUUAGUUGGACAAUGGGACGGUAUCCCGUAAGGUCCACUAGAUAAUUCUAUUUCGGACUACAGGACAAUAUCCUGGGAGAUCCCUAGUUAUUAUCUCUGAGUGGAGUUGUACUCCUUUCCAUGGUUAUUUUAUCUCUGUUAUAGAUAUUGUUGUUCCUUCUAUUCUGUGUUAUUUAUUACGGUUACACUUAAUGACAUUGUCUCAUUCUAUACUGUUAUACCUUAUAUUUCAUUUAAUAUCAAUAGGGCUCUGAAUUUCCUCGGCCCUACUCGAUCGAGCUUAUGCUUGGCACUUACUGAGUACCAUUGUGGUGUACUCAUGCCCUUUCUUCGCAUGUUUUUCAUGUUCAGAUCUAGGUACUUCCACUCAGUCUUAUUGUCACACCUCCUUUUUCCUUCACCCCCGAAAGGUAUAAGGGACUUUUUAAUUAAAGGACAAUCAAAACAGUAUUAUUAUUUAUGAAUCAAAGCCACCACUUGGGAUAAUUUGAUGGUGUCCCAAAUCAUCGGUUCAAAUCCCGACUCGAGGAAAAGGUUGACUCUGUUUUACAGUCCACAAAUACAGAAAUCCUGGUAAGGAUUCUACUAACAUGGAAGAAGGUGUUAGGCGUUCCCAAGUUUUAUGGUUCUAGCAUGGUCGCUCAACUGUUAUUAUUAUCCUAAUUAUCUUAUUAUAAAAUACUUUAAAACCUAUGUGCAUUUUAGCUUUAAAUCGCUUUAAAUUUUUUUAAGUAAGAGUUUAACGUCGGCUAAAAUAUAUUUUUUGGACUGCGCCACAAGAAAUUCACCCGCAAUCCGAAACACAUUUUAUUCAACAUUGUAUAGACUUGAAUGUAGAACACAUGAAGUGCACACUCGAAUUUAUGAAGGUAAUUUUAAUAUUAUGCCCCUACAGCAACUAUGCGGUUUUUUUCUAAACUUUGUGAGGGACAUGGAAAAUUUUAUGAAUGGCGCGCCUCGAGUUCUAAGGAUUUAAAAGAAAUAAUUAAAUUAGGACCACGUAUUUGAUAUUUUAUUUGGCACGGCGCACCUUAAAUCCAAUUUUUAAAGGAAAUUCAAAAUCAAACUCUUAAGGCCAUAACUAUAUUUGCUAAGAUGGCACACCUUAACUAAUUCUCCAAAAUUCCUUAUUUUAAAACCAUGAGGGUCAUAGACUAUCUCUACUAAUAUGGCAUACCCUGAAACUAAUUUAAUUGUAGUACUUCUAGCCCCCUUUUUAACAUGUUAUCUAAGCAAGAAAACUUUGCGUAAAAGAAACUAAACAGAAAGAAACAGAUAUGUUAUUAACUGGCUCGUACAAUUGCAACCAUGCGGGAUAAGAUAGAAGAAGGCAGGCCCAAUGCAAUGGAGGCCUGCAAAUCGACUUCAUGUAGUAUCUUGACCCAAGGCCCAAAGAAGGGUCUAAAUUUAGCAGUAAAUCCUGAAGAAGAAAAAAGACUCGAGUUCGAGUCCCCAGGUCAUGUAAGGAGAAUACCAAAUUAGAAAUGUGAUCCUAGCAAGGCCUUUGAUAACUAACUAUCCUUUGACAAUUGCGCUUCAGUUAAUUCUACAUGGGCAAUUAUGUCAAAUUUCCAGUACAAUUUGAGCCUAUUUUCAUGCGUAAUGUCAAAUAAAAUCUUAUGGGUCUAUCUAAUAGAUACAAGUCCUAACAUUAAAUGAAAACUAACAUGUUUUUGCAACAUAAAUAAAUCAAUGCACAGCCUGCCUUUUAAGGUAACUUGGAUCAUUUUCCCUUUCUUCUAGCACGACUUAUAUUGGUUACUACUUAAAAAGAAUUCAGUCCCUCAUUACAUGAAUGUGGAAAAAUUGAUCUACAAGGGAAUAUGCUGUAACAAUCAGAUACACUGCUUAGCAAGAGGAUACAUACACAAUCACACCAUUUAGCAUGAUCUAACUACAUAUGCAACCAAAUAAGCUAUGUACCAAUUUUUUUCAGAAUACUUUCAAAUAUUCAAUCUCGAACUACAGGAUACUUUCUAGAAGACUGAUCUCCCAUCAGAUAAUAUGCACUACAUCUUUCAGGUGAUAUUGACAUAAUCCAACAGAAUAUAAUGCAUCAUGCAAAAUCAGCAAAUAAAAAAUAAAUAAAACUAAGCUACUGAACAGAGCAAAUUGAAGUUGUGUUUGAACUCCCAAUUUUAUUUCAUACUUCAAACAAUCUUCACAUGAUAUAGGAUUCAAGAGCAAGUACCUGAUUAUAGCAAAAUAAACCAGAGAAACCAAAGUUGGAGUCAGUAAACAGCAACAGAAAAAUCAGCCUCCAAGAAUGACUAACAACAGGGAAAUCCACUUCUUCCCGCCAAGGAAAAACCCAGAUGAACAACAUACAAUAGCAAUCUGACUAGCUAAGAAUUUUUUAAAACAAAAUUGGACCAGCCUUGUCCAAAAAUGCAAGAAAUGCAUUAUUCUCUCGGAAUUCCUUAGGCUCAGCCAUUUUCCUUCAAAAUUUUCAUAGUGUUUUUUUCUUCUCUCUCAAUGAAUGGAAAGAAAACUUAUAUAGGCAUGCCAAGGGCGGCCCUAAUACAUCUAGCCAAUUCCCCAUUUACCCUUCCCUUUACAAAAAUAUCUGACACUUUCAACUCUUAUCAUAUUCUUUAGAACCUUCUAUCCUAAAAGAAUUUGAUUCCCCCCCCCCCUAUUGCGCGCACGCGCGCGCGCACACACAAGCACACACACACACGGUGACCUUACACUAACUGGUUAUUACAAUCUUUGCCCCUCCCCCCUAAGACCCCUCUAAGUUUCUAUACUUAGCAUUAACCCUCAUAUGGAUCCCUGA